RNAcentral lists this unclassified non-coding RNA (235 nucleotides) under plant metagenome. RNAcentral's name for it is "partial contains small subunit ribosomal RNA, internal transcribed spacer 1, and 5.8S ribosomal RNA". The record is from RNAcentral.
UUUCCGUAGGUGAACCUGCGGAAGGAUCAUUACUGAGUGAGGGCCCCUCGGGGUCCAACCUCCCACCCGUGUUUAACGAACCUUGUUGCUUCGGCGGGCCCGCCUCACGGCCGCCGGGGGGCAUUUGCCCCCGGGCCCGCGCCCGCCGAAGCCACCUGUGAACGCUGUCUGAAGUAUGCAGUCUGAGACAAUUAUUAAAUUAAUUAAACUUUCAACAACGGAUCUCUUGGUUCCG